RNAcentral lists this unclassified non-coding RNA (5312 nucleotides) under Hevea brasiliensis (rubber tree). Lineage: Eukaryota; Viridiplantae; Streptophyta; Magnoliopsida; Malpighiales; Euphorbiaceae. The record is from RNAcentral.
GCAAAUCCCCUGUAGUAAAAGUCUCCAUAACACAUCUCAUCAUAUGAGCAGACACAGACACAGUAUCCCACAAACACAGAAAAAAAAAAUGGUAAGAAAAGAAGGUUAAAAAUAAAAUAAAUUUGCUUUCAUAAUUUCAAAGAUGAAGUAAUUUUGAUGGCAUUGUAUAUAAUAGUAGUAAUUGCAAUAUUCAGAUGUAAUGGCCAUAAGCAAAGCAAUCACAUCACAUGGUCUCGUACUCUUGGUCAUUUCCUUUUUGUUGCUUGCUACUUUCCCUAAAUCUUCCCCUUCACGCAGAGCUCCUCAACACCCCACACCACAUUCAAAAAAAAAAAGAGCCCAUCUUUGAUUGCAAUCCUCUUUGUAUCUUCCUCUACUGUUCAAACCUGGAUCACCGUCAGAUUACUGUCUCCUUUUUCAAUUGUUUAUUGUGGGGCGGUACGUGUAUAUCCUAUGUGAUGCUGGUGAAGAGUUUGUCAUUCGUAUUAUAGCUCUGGCGACGUUUUGAUUGUUUUUUUAUUGUAUUGUUGAUCUGGGGUAUGCGCGAAUUUGAAAUCUUGAUUCACUGGUGGUGAAUUGUGGAGAGCGGAUCGGGGAAAGAUGCGGAGGCGGGCGGCCGACUACCGGCGCCCGGUUAGAAGAAGGUUAUCGCAGUGGAUCUGUGCGCUUCUUGGGAUGUUCCUGAUUGCGGGGCUAGUUUUGUUUGUGUUUCACCACCAUCACCAUGAAGAUCAGGUUACGCAGCCCAUACAGGAGAACCAUGCAAGACCAGAGCCAGUUAACCAUGAAGGUUUAAACUUCACUAAGGAAAUAUUAAGUGCUACCUCAUUUGCGCGGCGGGUGGCUGAGCAAAUGACACUUGCCAAGGCUUAUGUCAUUAUUGCAAAGGAGCACAAUAACCUUCACCUUGCAUGGGAGCUGAGCAAUAAGAUCCGAAGUUGCCAACUUCUGCUUUCAAAAGCUGCCAUGAGAGGGGAGCCCAUAACACAAGAAGAAGCAGAGCCAAUAAUCAGUAGUCUAUCAUAUCUAAUCUUCAAGGCACAAGAUGCACAUUAUGAUGUAGCAACUACCAUAAUGACAAUGAAAUCUCAUAUUCAAGCCCUUGAAGGACGUGCAAAUGCAGCAACAGUUCAGAACACAGUAUUUGGGCAAUUGGUGGCUGAAGCUUUGCCCAAGAGCCUGCAUUGCCUAAAAGUAAAGCUCACAACUGAUUGGCUUAAGAAGCUGCCCCUUCAAGAUCUUGCAGAGGAGAAAAGAAAUUCACCAAGAGUUGUGGAUAACAAUCUCUAUCACUUCUGCAUAUUUUCGGACAAUGUGCUGGCUACCUCUGUGGUUGUCAACUCCACGAUCUCCAACGCUGACCAUCCAAAACAGCUAGUCUUCCAUAUAGUCACAAAUGGAAUCAGCUACGGAGCUAUGCAGGCUUGGUUCCUAAGCAACGACUUCAAAGGGGCCACCACAGAAGUGCAGAAUGUAGAAGAGUUCUCUUGGUUGAAUGCUUCUUAUGCUCCUGUUGUCAAACAGCUUCAUGAUGAAGAUUCACGUUAUUAUUUUUCAGGUUAUCAGGAUGUGAAGGAAGAGCCAAAACUGUGGAAUCCCAAAUACCUGUCUUUGCUGAAUCAUCUUCGCUUUUACAUCCCUGAGAUCUAUCCACUACUGGAAAAGAUAGUUUUUCUUGAAGAUGAUGUUGCUGUCCAAAAGGAUCUUACGCAACUUUUUUCAUUAGAUUUGCAUGGAAAUGUCAAUGGAGCUGUGGAAACUUGCCUUGUAGCAUUUCAUCGCUAUUACAAGUAUCUCAAUUUCUCAAACCCUAUCAUCAGCUCAAAGUUUGACCCACAGGCAUGUGGAUGGGCUUUUGGUAUGAAUGUUUUUGAUUUGAUUGCAUGGAGAAAGGCAAAUGUGACUGCGAAGUAUCAUUACUGGCAGGAGCAGAAUGCUGAUCAAACACUCUGGAAGCUGGGAACGCUUCCUCCUGCUCUUCUAGCAUUUUAUGGACUGACAGAGCCACUUGAUCGAAGAUGGCAUGUAUUAGGUUUGGGAUAUGAUAUGAACAUUGACAGUCGUCUGAUUGAGAGUGCUGCGGUUAUUCACUUCAAUGGGAACAUGAAGCCAUGGCUGAAGUUAGCCAUUGGCAGGUACAAGCCUUUAUGGGAAAGGUACAUAAAUCAAAGUCACCCAUAUUUUCAAGAUUGUGUCAUAAGUUGAAAUGUGCUACUUCCUGAUUAUGAUAAUUUAUGCAAUCUUCAAUACCCUCAAACGGUGAUUGCAUGGUAGAGUCAGAAGUAGAAAAUUUUGACUUAGUUAGGAGUUCUCUUUUUUUUUAUUUCCUCCUCUUCUUCUUCAUAGUUUCCAAAUGGGAAAAGAACAAGUUCUAUACAUUAGAGAAUUUAAAUUUACUGGGUGAAAAGGUGUGGAGAAUUCAUUUUUGGCUGAUGGGGUUCACUUUCCUCUUCUGCAAGCUGUAGAAAUUUUUGUUCCCUAGUAAUUCUUGUAAUAAUUUUUCAGAUCUUUUGGAUUAUAAUGUAAUUGAACAUCAACUGGAUUCUUGAUAUAACUGUGAGAGUUCUUAAAAUGUAAUUUUCACAGUUCCUUGAGCAUGAAAUUAUGCAGUUUUUUCCUUUUUUUUCCCCUUUCUUUUUUGAAUGUUUGGACCUUUACCAGAAAGAAAGUUCAACUCAGAAUUUGAAGGCCUCUGGUUCACUUGUGGUAAAGGCUCUUGCAAUGCGAUCCUCCAGCUUGGCAACUGCUUAAUUCAUUUUACAACAUUAAUUAAAAUUCUUACAAAAGAUGGGAAUUCAAUCAUUUUCACUGUUCUAUGGGAUUCAAUACCUGAGCUCUCAAAGGAGAAUUAAGGAGUUCUCAUCUUGCAGAGGCAAGCCAAAAGUAAGAGAGUGCAAACUACAAAAGCAAAACCAAAUCGAGGAUAAUUGCUCAAUCUACAGUUUCUUUCCAACUCCUCACGAUGGUCUGUUACAAUGCAGUGAUGUUACAGCAUUAGUUACCAAGUUUUGUGCUAAUUAAUCAAAGCUCGCUUCCGACCUGCCAACAUUUUGUCCCUAAGAAUAAGAUAAAAAUGAAAAAGGUUCUCAUCUUUAAGGGAUUCAACAUAGCAGUACUUGAAUACACAGCACCGAGAGUGUUCAAAAUCAUUCCUUUUACCUCACCAGCCUCCGACACUUUUUUUUUCCCGCUAUUAAAUAUGGGUCAAACAAUUAUUCAGCUAAAUGAUGCACCAAAGAUUAUAAACAUGGUUACUACGUUGAUAUUAUUAAAAGGCAAAUGAAAAACUAAUGGUUAAGGUAUAAGAAGAUUUUAACAUAUGCUCAACCUAUAUAAUGUAACAAAAAGAUUGGCUAGACUGAUCAAAAAUUGGAAGUGAUCUUAAUCAUACUUCUUUCAUCAUGUCACAACAUAAAUUUCUCUUUUGCACAAGAAAUAACCUUAAAUUUUUCUUCAGCUUCAAUUUGCUGGCGAAUGUCACUUCUUCAUGCUCGAUUUGGAUGGAACCUAACCAGAGCUUGUUUAUAAGCAGCACGUACCUCAGAAGACAAAGGGUAAAGACCACCUCCAAUAUUGAUUCCAAGGCCAUGAAGAAAUGAAGCCAUAUCUCUACAGUUAGCUUCCAGUUUAUCCAGUUUUGUCCUUACCUCAAUGCGAAUUUGCUCUUUCAAAUUCAGAGUUUCCUUAUCCUUUUUCUGUGCCUCUCGAACCUCUUCUACCCGCUGUUUUUGUCUUCUCUCUGUUUCCAAUAGACGUAGAGUUUCAGCUUUUCUUCUUUUGCGCAAACGCUGGGCUUCUUCUGCCUGACUUUUUAACUCUCUUUGUCUGGAUGUCCAUUCUUCUUCUUGAGCAAGUUUAUAAGCCUCAGUUUUCUUGAGCAUUUCUCUAUCACCAAUAAUAUAGUUUUGGACGUCAGCUGGAUCAUCUCUAUUUGAAAUAAAUAGAAGAGGAUUAUCUUCCACCUGUAGUUGAGUAUUUGCCAAAAGUUUGAAAGUGGUCUCUUUUUCUACUUGAGUGCUGCGAACAGGAGAUCUUUUACACAUCUCACUCCAGAUGGUCUCUUCCAAAUCUGCAUGCUGAUUCUUUCCAUUUGACUUAUUAGAAGUACCACCUGCAUCUUCAUCAAUACGUGCUGAUGGAUUGAAGUUACCACUUUCAUGAUUUCCAUAGGUUGAACAAGGAGUUGGCACUUCAGCUGUUUUAUCUAUGUCCACAUUAGUUUGAGAAUUGAUGUUAAUCCCAGCAGGACCCAUCUCAUCCCAAAAAACAGAUUGACGUUUUGGGGCAUUCUCAAACAUCUUCUUCCUCAAUGAAGCCUCUUCCCACAGCUGACGAAUAUUUCCUUGAUUAUCUUCCACGAUGUCACAAUCAGAAUCAUCAUCCUCAGAAUCAUCAUCCUCAAGUGAAAUACUAGAGGAAAAUUUUUGGUGAUAAAGAGAUGACUUUGAGGAUAGUUUCCUUCCCCGAUUACAAGAAAGCAGACAUCCCUUACUUGAGGUGAAAUAAGCAUUUUGACUUCCACCCCCUUCAAAACCAUCCAGAGAACAGCCACAAUGACCACUUUCAAAAUCAUCAUCAGCAAUACAAAUAACGUUCCUAUAUGCCUGUAUUUUGUCCUUUCCAGAUAUGCUAGUAUCAGGAGAGUUCCCUUCUGAAGUUUCUGGGACAUCAAUCAUGAUAAAAUUAGGGCUUUUGUCAGUGUCAAUGUCAAUAACAUUAUUGGCUUUUCCCUUUGAUUUGCACCUUUCUAAAGCUCUCUUCUGAGAAUCAGUUCUUCGCUGAGACAGCCUCCUUGACAUUCUUUCUGCUGUUAUCUAUUUCACAAUUUACCACAGAUGAAAACGUACAUGAGUUACAAAAUUUAUGGCAUUUUACUAUCAGUUGGAAAUAGUCCUUCCUUGUCAUUUUAUAUAGCCAUCAUGAUUUCGAUAAUUGGACAAGGAUUCCAUCUUCCCAGAACAGUCCAGCAAAUUUUUAUUAUUUAUGGUUUUGGAUACAUUAAAGAAAAUACCACAUAUAAGAAUAACAAGUGCCACCAAGUCUUGCAAGUUCUUUCACAGACAUGGGUUCAAUCUCCACCCCAAAUGGAACAUCUUUUGAUUGUUUACCAGGGGAAGAUAGAAAUGAAGGAAAGUCGUGGAGCUGAAAUUUUAUUUUGAAAUCUGAUUAGGGUUUGAUAAGGAAUCAAAUCUGUAAAUAUAGGGGUUUAAGUGGUCGACCAUCCAUGAAAAGUCAAGCACUGUGCUACAAGAAUUUUGCCCCGUUGCUUCUUUCUCUUUUCGCUUUCUUGACAAUUUUAUGGCUUCUUCCUA